UACAGGGGGUGCAAACGUUGCUCGGAAUUAUUGGGCGUAAAGCGCGCUUAGGCGGCCGCUUAAGUCGGAUGUGAAAGCCCCUGGCUCAACUGGGGAAGUGCACCCGAAACUGAGUGGCUUGAGUACUAAAGAGGGUCGCGGAAUUCCCGGUGUAGAGGUGAAAUUCGUAGAUAUCGGGAGGAACACCGGUGGCGAAGGCGGCGACCUGGGUAGAUACUGACGCUGAGGCGCGAAAGCGUGGGGAUCGAACAGG
RNAcentral lists this ribosomal RNA (253 nucleotides) under uncultured bacterium. RNAcentral describes it as "partial 16S ribosomal RNA". It matches the Rfam family "Bacterial small subunit ribosomal RNA", at positions 524 to 776 of the family's 1533-position model. The record is from RNAcentral.